AUUAUAUAAAAACAAACUCCACACUACAACAUUUGGUCCUUCGAGCCGGAGAUCAUCAACACAUCCACCAGCGAUUCUUGGGAGUUCUGAGAUAAGUAACUGAUUGCUUUUCGUUUCACUGCAACUUGCAUAGACUUGGGUAGCUCAUGAGUAGCAGUGCUGGGAAAAAGAUCGAUCUAGCAAACGAUAUAUCGAUGUUUCAUAUCCAUCGAAAAUAUCGAUGUAGAAAACUUCGAUACUUGAUAUAUCGCCAUCACUAUACCAUUAAUUCCCCAUCACUUGAAUUAAAAGCGUGGGAUAAGACUGUCAGGAUUUUGGUGUUGGUAGUGUUGUAGAGAAAUGGAUAAGUUUUUAAACAGCAAGGACAAUGGCGAAGAUUGCGACGCGGAUAAGGAAAAUGGAGAGGCUUGUCUCAAGCCGCAGCAAGUAGAUAUGCUGCUCUUCAUAAACAAAAAUGAUUGGACGAAGUAAAUGAUCUUAUUAAAUAAUAUAAUCUUUGUUA
Long non-coding RNA from Drosophila mojavensis, 502 nucleotides. RefSeq lists it as uncharacterized. Lineage: Eukaryota; Metazoa; Arthropoda; Insecta; Diptera; Drosophilidae. The transcript is spliced from 5 exons. The record is from RefSeq and is a predicted model, not a curated record.